GACUUCUUCAUAUGUAUUUAAACAUGGAGUUCUUUUGUCAAUUUCUGUGCUUUGUAGCAGGUACUUUUGGAAAUGCUGAUCCAGUUGUACCCUUUCAUCUUGCAGCCGGAGACUCAGCAGAGGGGCAGAGACUCAGGAUUGUAUAUACCAAGAUGUUAAGAAUUCAAAUGUCACCCACACACCUGUAGACCACGUGGCCACCUUAUUCACAUUCCUUCCUCUUUUGAAUCACUGGGAAGAAGGUGAGCAGCUGCUUGUGAGGUAUAAUAAGAUUGAUUAAUGGUGUCUACAGGAAAUCAGCUCAAGACAAUUAAUUUUUACAGCACCAGCCCGGUACUUUCAAGCAUUCUACUGUAAGAUUAUGCAUUGUUAAUUGAUACUGCUGGGAAUUAGGAGCAAAGACCAGUUUGUCAAAAAAAAAAAAAAAAAAGAAAGAAAGAAAGAAAGGACACAGCUCUAUUGCAUAUUCAUAUCGACUUUCUACUUAAUAAUCCAGUGGAGAAGGGAAAUCAGAACUGUGGUCUAUCAAACACAUUACAGAUGAGGAAUUAUUGCCCCUUUCCUUUUAUUGUUAAGCUAUGAACAUCAGGAACUGUAGUCUAAGAUAAUGAGUUGUCACUUCUGCCAAUGGAAACAUGGUGCAUAUUCUGUCAGUCUUCCACUUUUGAACCUCUAGGGGCAAACAACACAGUGCCUGGGCUGCUGUGUGUGUUCUGAUUUAAUUCUCUUUUGGUUUCUAUUUGCAACUUCAGAGCAUUGAAGGGCAUGGGAUUACUGCCAUCUUUUCUGUGUGGUGUCUGGGGAAGAGGACUAGAGAGAGACUUCCACAGUCGAUACCCACAUCUCCAAGGCACUCACUAAAAUGUAUUACAGAAAGUAUCAAGUUGAAUGUGGAUCCUAAGAAUGAGAAUUUUCUUAGCUUAGAGAAACAUGAUUCUUUGUUAUUCUUUUUGAGUUGAAGUAGUUAUGUUUUCCAAUAUUACCCAAGGGCUUGCCACUCCAUUCUUUUGCAAGAAAGAUUGUCACCCUCAUAAAUGCAUGCUCAUGGUCUCUAUAAUAAUGUAACCAAGAGAAUAAAGAAAGGUG
This 1086-nucleotide long non-coding RNA is filed under the name Callithrix jacchus (white-tufted-ear marmoset). RNAcentral's name for it is "lncRNA (ENSCJAG00000080462.1)". The record is from RNAcentral. Lineage: Eukaryota; Metazoa; Chordata; Mammalia; Primates; Cebidae.